RNAcentral lists this long non-coding RNA (287 nucleotides) under Ixodes scapularis (black-legged tick). RNAcentral's name for it is "uncharacterized LOC120839490, transcript variant X2". The record is from RNAcentral. Lineage: Eukaryota; Metazoa; Arthropoda; Arachnida; Ixodida; Ixodidae.
GAUUCCAGGUGUGCUCGGCGCAUUUCGUGACUGGGAAAAAGACGGGCGAGGAUAUCGUGCCGCAGCUUAACCUCGGGUAUGCGCGGAAGGUUGUCGUUGGGAGACGCCGUUUGGUGCGUGACGCAAGUGAGAAACCGCUGAUCACUAAGAAGCAAAGACUCUCCUCACAAGCUAGCUCUGGAGCUGUCACCGACUGUACGCAACCCGCCGAGCAGGUCAACGUCUCGGCCUCGACGUCACAACCAACUGCUGCUGAGCACACGGUCAUCGACUGUACGCAAGCCACC